RNAcentral lists this ribosomal RNA (292 nucleotides) under uncultured bacterium. RNAcentral's name for it is "partial 16S ribosomal RNA". It matches the Rfam family "Bacterial small subunit ribosomal RNA", at positions 505 to 796 of the family's 1533-position model. The record is from RNAcentral.
GUGCCAGCAGCCGCGGUAAUACGAAGGGGGCUAGCGUUGCUCGGAAUCACUGGGCGUAAAGGGUGCGUAGGCGGGUUUUUAAGUCAGAGGUGAAAUCCUGGAGCUCAACUCCAGAACUGCCUUUGAUACUGAAAGUCUUGAGUAUGGGAGAGGUGAGUGGAACUGCGAGUGUAGAGGUGAAAUUCGUAGAUAUUCGCAAGAACACCAGUGGCGAAGGCGGCUCACUGGCCCAUAACUGACGCUGAGGCACGAAAGCGUGGGGAGCAAACAGGAUUAGAUACCCUGGUAGUCC